Molecule: long non-coding RNA, 169 nt
Organism: Pseudophryne corroboree (corroboree frog)
Lineage: Eukaryota; Metazoa; Chordata; Amphibia; Anura; Myobatrachidae
Exons: 3
Source: RefSeq, a predicted model, not a curated record
GGCCUACCGGAGGCCAGGAGUAAGCUAACGAUCGCCACCCGGGAAGCUGUGACUAGCAAGAACAUAAAACAUGUGUUCAGUGUGUUCAGCCAGGUGCCUGGAAGUGAAAAUGAGAAGAAGCUGACCCUUGACCAAGUCUUUAGAGCUGUUCUAGAGGAGGAAAUCGUAA